RNAcentral lists this unclassified non-coding RNA (380 nucleotides) under soil metagenome. Its description in RNAcentral is "partial contains 5.8S ribosomal RNA, internal transcribed spacer 2, and large subunit ribosomal RNA". The stretch from base 1 to 120 matches the Rfam family "5.8S ribosomal RNA", at positions 35 to 154 of the family's 154-position model. The record is from RNAcentral.
GAUGAAGAACGCAGCGAAAUGCGAUAAGUAAUGUGAAUUGCAGAAUUCAGUGAAUCAUCGAAUCUUUGAACGCACCUUGCGCUCCUUGGUAUUCCGAGGAGCAUGCCUGUUUGAGUGUCAUUAAUUUCUCAACCUCACCAGCUUUUGCUGAGUGCAGGCUUGGAUGUGGGGGUUGCAGGUCCGCUAACGUGGUCUGCUCCUCUGAAAUGUAUUAGUGGGUUGGGCCCCUAAUCUAUUGGUGUGAUAAUUAUCUACGCCGUGGAUUUGGGUGGCUGACUUAGACCCGCUUCUAACCGUCCUUCACCGGACAACUCUUGACAAUUUUGACCUCAAAUCAGGUAAGACUACCCGCUGAACUUAAGCAUAUCAAUAAGCGGGGA